GUUGAAUGUGUAGUACUCCUUCGGAAUUGCUUUGUGCUGGCUUCGGAUUUUGCAUCGGUUAACCCCCAACUUGGUGAUGCUUUGGUGAACAGGGUAGCGGUGAUGAUUUGCAUAUGGUUUUUUUAUGCACUCCCCUCUACUUCUGAAGAUUUGUAAAUCAUAGAUUUUGAAUGAAUCUUUGUCAUCUAUGUCAUUUGCAGGCUAUCUCAUUUUGCAUUUGAGGGUUUCAUUACACCCAACUACUUUUGCACUUUUGCAAACUAUAGCUAUUUUUUGGAUAAUUCUGUACUAUAUGUCUCUUUGAUGUUUCUCAAUUUUUUAUAUAUCCGUGUGUUUCUCAAUUUCUGUUUUUAUGUCUACUUUUGUCUUUCCUUUUUUCCAAUUACUUGGCAAUAAUUUUGCAUAUCUGCAUUCAUCUUUUUCUUUGAUAGUUUUCCUCAUUUCACUUUUCUGGGGCUCCAUCACUUUGACUUAUUUUCUGUUUGAUUUUGUUAAAUUGUUGUCUGUUUUGGUUUCCCCUGCUGGUUGGUUGAAAUUUGG
Molecule: long non-coding RNA, 540 nt
Filed under: Setaria viridis
Lineage: Eukaryota; Viridiplantae; Streptophyta; Magnoliopsida; Poales; Poaceae
Description: long non-coding RNA (SVIR_LNC001040)
Source: RNAcentral